Molecule: transfer RNA, 74 nt
Filed under: Marmota monax (woodchuck)
Lineage: Eukaryota; Metazoa; Chordata; Mammalia; Rodentia; Sciuridae
Description: tRNA.Leu
Source: RNAcentral
GAGGGUGUAACUCAGUGGUAGAGCACAUGCUGAGGAUAUAUGCAAGGUCCUGGGUUCAAUCCCCAGCACCAAAA